RNAcentral lists this ribosomal RNA (467 nucleotides) under uncultured Desulfomonile sp. Its description in RNAcentral is "bacterial SSU rRNA". It matches the Rfam family "Bacterial small subunit ribosomal RNA", at positions 337 to 795 of the family's 1533-position model. The record is from RNAcentral. Lineage: Bacteria; Pseudomonadati; Thermodesulfobacteriota; Desulfomonilia; Desulfomonilales; Desulfomonilaceae.
UCCUACGGGUGGCUGCAGUGAGGAAUAUUGCGCAAUGGGGGAAACCCUGACGCAGCAACGCCGCGUGAGUGAAGAAGGCUUUCGGGUUGUAAAGCUCUGUCGGGUGGGAAGAAACCUCUUUAGGUAAAUAGCCUAGAGAGCUGACGGUACCACCGAAGGAAGCACCGGCUAACUCCGUGCCAGCAGCCGCGGUAAGACGGAGGGUGCAAGCGUUGUUCGGAAUCACUGGGCGUAAAGCGCGUGUAGGCGGGCUGAUCAGUCGAGUGUGAAAGCCCGAGGCUCAACUUCGGAAGUGCACUCGAAACUGUCAGGCUUGAGUACGGGAGAGGGAAGUGGAAUUCCUGGUGUAGAGGUGAAAUUCGUAGAUAUCAGGAGGAACACCGGUGGCGAAGGCGGCUUCCUGGACCGAUACUGACGCUGAGACGCGAAAGCGUGGGGAGCAAACAGGAUUAGAUACCCCGGUAGUC